Molecule: ribosomal RNA, 49 nt
Filed under: Kocuria marina subsp. indica
Lineage: Bacteria; Bacillati; Actinomycetota; Actinomycetes; Micrococcales; Micrococcaceae
Description: Kocuria indica 16S rRNA. Bacterial SSU
Source: RNAcentral
UUUUGACGGAGAGUUUGAUCCUGGCUCAGGACGAACGCUGGCGGCGUGC